Molecule: ribosomal RNA, 450 nt
Filed under: uncultured bacterium
Lineage: Bacteria
Description: bacterial SSU rRNA
Rfam family: Bacterial small subunit ribosomal RNA
Source: RNAcentral
GUAGGGAAUCUUCCACAAUGGGCGCAAGCCUGAUGGAGCAACACCGCGUGAGUGAAGAAGGGUUUCGGCUCGUAAAGCUCUGUUGUUAGAGAAGAACGUGCGUGAGAGCAACUGUUCACGCAGUGACGGUAUCUAACCAGAAAGUCACGGCUAACUACGUGCCAGCAGCCGCGGUAAUACGUAGGUGGCAAGCGUUAUCCGGAUUUAUUGGGCGUAAAGCGAGCGCAGGCGGUUUGAUAAGUCUGAUGUGAAAGCCUUUGGCUUAACCAAAGAAGUGCAUCGGAAACUGUCAGACUUGAGUGCAGAAGAGGACAGUGGAACUCCAUGUGUAGCGGUGGAAUGCGUAGAUAUAUGGAAGAACACCAGUGGCGAAGGCGGCUGUCUGGUCUGCAACUGACGCUGAGGCUCGAAAGCAUGGGUAGCGAACAGGAUUAGAAACCCUAGUAGUCC